This 441-nucleotide ribosomal RNA is filed under the name uncultured bacterium. Its description in RNAcentral is "bacterial SSU rRNA". It matches the Rfam family "Bacterial small subunit ribosomal RNA", at positions 29 to 514 of the family's 1533-position model. The record is from RNAcentral.
AACGAACGCUGGCGGCAUGCCUAACACAUGCAAGUCGAACGAGACCUUCGGGUCUAGUGGCGCACGGGUGCGUAACGCGUGGGAAUCUGCCCUUGGGUUCGGAAUAACAGCGAGAAAUUGCUGCUAAUACCGGAUGAUGACGUAAGUCCAAAGAUUUAUCGCCCAAGGAUGAGCCCGCGUAGGAUUAGCUAGUUGGUGAGGUAAAGGCUCACCAAGGCGACGAUCCUUAGCUGGUCUGAGAGGAUGAUCAGCCACACUGGGACUGAGACACGGCCCAGACUCCUACGGGAGGCAGCAGUGGGGAAUAUUGGACAAUGGGGCGAAAGCCUGAUCCAGCAAUGCCGGGUGAGUGAUGAAGGCCUUAGGGUUGUAAAGCUCUUUUACCCGGGAUGAUAAUGACAGUACCGGGAGAAUAAGCUCCGGCUAACUCCGUGCCAGCAG